CUUCCCUUGCACAGCUUGUUCCCAAGUCCAUAAGUGUUUGUAGUCUGUAUUCUAUCACAGCAAAUUAAAUUCCAGAGUUGUGUUUUGUGACGGAGUCUCUUUCUCUGAAAAAUGGUGUUCUGUGUGAUGAUUUCCAUCCUUCAUUUUCACCUUUCCCCAAAAAAAAAUUCCUGAAAUUGAACAAUACAUUUCAAUGGAAUGAUAAAUUCUAUCACAAGUUCUUAAAUAUGAAAAGAAGAAACAGUUUUCUUUUUCGCAAUAAUUAUUCUUCAUAAUCAGGUUAAUCAUUAACAGCUUUAAGUUUGUUUUCUGCUUAUUGCAGACAUGUUCUUGAUUUUUAUACCAGUUGGUGUCCAACAUUGAACAAUAACAAUGUAAGGCAGGUGGCAAAUAUUUUGUUUUAAGAAUACAAAAUGUUUCAAAUUGUAAAACUUAGCCAUUCUGUGGUUCUUGGAUAACAAAAAAGUUAAACCCGACAGCAAGAUCAGGAUCUUAUUUCAGCCCUAUUAGCAGAUCUCAUUUGAUGAUGAUAUAUUUUGUAUAAAUUAAUCCUGAAAAUAUAAAUCCCAAAAAAUUGUCUCCCUUGAAAUAAAUAUUUUCAGUAAUGCAUUUUCUCCAUUUUUAUCAGUAUGAUUGUGUGAUGCACACAUUUGU
This 654-nucleotide long non-coding RNA is filed under the name Mytilus galloprovincialis (Mediterranean mussel). Lineage: Eukaryota; Metazoa; Mollusca; Bivalvia; Mytilida; Mytilidae. The record is from RNAcentral.